ACCGGCAGUUCAAGUGGUGGCCAUUUUUAUUGGGCCUAAAGCGUUAGUAGCCGGUUUGAUAAGUCUCUGGUGAAAUCCCGCAGCUCAACUGUGGGACCUGCUGGAGAUACUAUUAGACUUGAGGUCGGGAGAGGUUAGAGGUACUCCCGGGGUAGGAGUGAAAUCCUGUAAUCCUUGGGGGACCACCUGUGGCGAAGGCGUCUCACUAGGACGGCUCCGACAGUGAGGAACGAAAGCCGGGGGCGCAAACCG
RNAcentral lists this ribosomal RNA (252 nucleotides) under uncultured prokaryote. RNAcentral describes it as "partial 16S rRNA". It matches the Rfam family "Archaeal small subunit ribosomal RNA", at positions 475 to 726 of the family's 1478-position model. The record is from RNAcentral.